AGUCGAACGCAGUAGCAAUACUGAGUGGCAAACGGGUGAGUAUAAUGUGGGAAUCUGCCUUUUGGUUCGGAAUAACACGAGGAAACUUGUGCUAAUACCGGAUAAGCCCUUACGGGGAAAGUUUUAAUGCCAAAAGAUGAGCCCGCACUUGAUUAGAUAGUUGGUAAGGUAAUGGCUUACCAAGGCAACGAUCAAUAGCUGUUCUUAGAGGAAGACAAGCCACAUUGGGACUGAGAAAAGGAAAAAAAGAC
RNAcentral lists this ribosomal RNA (251 nucleotides) under uncultured bacterium. RNAcentral describes it as "partial 16S ribosomal RNA". It matches the Rfam family "Bacterial small subunit ribosomal RNA", at positions 60 to 339 of the family's 1533-position model. The record is from RNAcentral.